Molecule: ribosomal RNA, 492 nt
Filed under: uncultured bacterium
Lineage: Bacteria
Description: partial 16S ribosomal RNA
Rfam family: Bacterial small subunit ribosomal RNA
Source: RNAcentral
AGUGAACGCUGGCGGUAGGCCUAACACAUGCAAGUCGAACGGCAGCACAGUAAGAGCUUGCUCUUACGGGUGGCGAGUGGCGGACGGGUGAGGAAUACAUCGGAAUCUACUUUUUCGUGGGGGAUAACGUAGGGAAACUUACGCUAAUACCGCAUACGACCUACGGGUGAAAGCAGGGGAUCUUCGGACCUUGCGCGAUUGAAUGAGCCGAUGUCGGAUUAGCUAGUUGGCGGGGUAAAGGCCCACCAAGGCGACGAUCCGUAGCUGGUCUGAGAGGAUGAGCAGCCACACUGGAACUGAGACACGGUCCAGACUCCUACGGGAGGCAGCAGUGGGGAAUAUUGGACAAUGGGCGCAAGCCUGAUCCAGACAUACCGCGUGGGUGAAGAAGGCCUUCGGGUUGUAAAGCCCUUUUGUUGGGAAAGAAAAGCAGCAGGUUAAUACCCCGCUGUUCUGACGGUACCCAAAGAAUAAGCACCGGCUAACUUCGUG